CGUUAGCUCAGCGGUAGAGCAGUUGGCUUUUAACCAAUUGGUCGAUGGUUCGAAUCCAUCACGG
RNAcentral lists this transfer RNA (64 nucleotides) under Isoalcanivorax indicus. It matches the Rfam family "tRNA", at positions 5 to 66 of the family's 71-position model. Rfam says of the family: Transfer RNA (tRNA) molecules are approximately 80 nucleotides in length. Their secondary structure includes four short double-helical elements and three loops (D, anti-codon, and T loops). RNAcentral also lists the same sequence under 4 other names. The record is from RNAcentral. Lineage: Bacteria; Pseudomonadati; Pseudomonadota; Gammaproteobacteria; Oceanospirillales; Alcanivoracaceae.